AUGUGUGGCUGAAGGGCUGGUUACUGAAGACACCCUCAAACCAUUGUUAAGGGAGCCCUAAGCAUCACCUCCAUCUUCCCUGGGGCUAGUCUGAACCAGCUCCAACUUCCUGCAGACUUUGGGACAACUAGAAGUCAGCAUUGUUUGCAUGGAUGCAGAAGAGAUAUGGAGCAGGGUUUCCUGCCACACUGAUGGAAACGGAGCUCAUGGUGCCUCACGAACUGCCCUAGAGACCUUACACAGAUGGGGAAAACACACAGUGACCUGACUGGAGGGUCAAGUCAUGAAGGAGGAGUACCUGGAGUGACAACAGAGAGCAGAAGGGGACCCCUGACCUGGAACAAGCAGAUUCCCCAGAAUGGCCAGGAGGAGGUGCCACAUGACCUCUGUGCAGCUACAAGUGCAUGCAGCCUCUGGGAGCAACAUCUACAUCUCAGACAGGGGAGUCAACUGGAAGGCCCAGAUGUGCUUCUAGCAGUGCACAUUUGAUGAUGAUGAGCUUUGGGAUUGAGGCUGUGCUGAUGAAAGUUGCUGGACUGGCUGGCAGCCAUGGACUCUGAAAGCUUCUCUUUAUCCCCCAGAACAGAGAUGGCAAAUGAAGCACUGCAAGCUUCUUCCAUGCACCCUGCCCUAUACAUGUGCCUUAUCUGUGCCAUGGAGGAACUGUCCUUAGGAGUUAGAAGCAUGUUCAAUCUCUGUAGCCCAUUCAGACUUUGGCCUCUCUUGCUCAUGCUGCAAGCAAGAGGGCCAAUCAGUGCUAAUUAACCUGGUUGUGUACUGUGGAUACCUGUCCAGUGGGUACUGGACUGAGGUCCCCAGCUCAUGAGCAUAUUCAUUGUUAGUGAAGAAGGAUGACCUCCUUUUUAGUCAAUCAAGGAGACAGGACCAAAUGUACAACAUGGGUGCCUACAGAGAUUGGUUAGUUUUAUGUGCACUAUACUGGACUACAGUUGUGCAAAACUAGAUCCCCAAGCUCUAGUGCCUUUGAAUAUCUGGGGUGAAUCAGAUUUAAAGCUGCAGUCUCCCCUACAAUUUCCAUGUCAAAGCCAGAAGGCUCUUGUGGUGAUCUGGGGAGUGUAUGUACAACUCAUGAAUUCUGGUUAAUUUUAGGAAAUUGCUGUAUUACUGAAUGCCUCAAUGGGUAGUGACUCAAAUAUGGGCUGACAGGGUCCCUGACACAUCAGCAUUGUGACCACUCCCUCAUUUGGACAAAGCUACAGAACAAAAGAGGUUGUUAAACUUAAUGCCUGUGCUCAGGCUGAACAGUGCAUAUGCCGAGGAGGAUAUCAGACCACCUCCCCCAGCUCAGACCAGAGGUUGGUUUGGAGAGCAGAAAAUCCCCAAACAGGCAAACAAAGAAACCAGGCGGUAGUGCUAGUUUUGAAAAACUCAAAAUUCACAGAAAAGCUUAGGUGGGGGAGAGGAACACAGGGGUCCUUUCCAACUGCAGGAAGCUGAGGAAGAAGGAAGCUGGCUGCAGAGGUUAGAGAGACUCCUUGAUUUGGAGAAGCCACGUGCAGGCAGGGAGGGGAGGGCAGAUUCUGGACUCCUUAGAGGACUUUGACCUAAGCCCAAAGAACACUCAAGAAUGGUGAGGAAACUGAGGCAGGGAACUGCUUCCAGGAGUUUAAUAACGUGUCUAGAUCUGUAUAUCUCUUGUGCUAGCUAAUGUGGAGAAUAAUUGGUUUUGGAACCCUCUGCAAAGCCUCUGUUAUGUGCUACCACUGUCACAUGUCCCUGAAGAGAUGAACUGUAAAACCAGAGAUGCCCAUAAGGCUGGAGUGCUAAACUCUGGGAAUUCUUGGAGGGGAUCAGUACUAGUCCUGGGGGCCUAUGGCAGCAGGGCUGCAGAACCCGUUUCCAUGAAGGAGUAGCAGACAAUCUGUGUCCAGGAAGUGUGCCCGAGGCUGAGGAAAGAAACAGAGCGGGAGCCUAUCCAGACUCAGACACGCUGAAAAGCACACGGGUCCAGUGUAUGAAGCCUGGUGAGUGUCUAGCAGUGGGAGCACAGCCAGGGCUAUGACAGACCUAUUUUCUAUUUCAAAUACAUCUGAGUUCUCCCACGAAUCAUCUGUUCUCAAGGGAUUUCAGCCCAAGUUGGUGGAUCUAUCCUGAGAAUAGCUGAUCUCACAAAAUUUCCACUGUCCUGGCCCCAAAACUCAUGAGAACAGCUAGUGAGAUUUCAGUGUCAUCUAACCCAAACACACAAGCUCUUGUCCCAUUUGGGCCUUAAACCUGACCCCUGAGACUCCCAUGUUAAUCCUUGUCCAGUGCUGGAUGCAAAAACUGCCUUUUCAUCUCUAAGAACAGGGGUCCUUAUGUGCUAGGAGAGAGAGAAUUCGAUCUCAGGAGCUGAUCUCCCCAGGUAUGAAGGAGGAGUAGCCCAUCAUCUGGAGUAUUUCAGAACUGGCCAAGUAUGUUAUGAACAGAGGCGUUCUAAAGCAGCCUGUGUUGGCUGUUGCGAGAGGCAGAAUGCCAGUGUGCUGCGAGACCUGUUCUGGAAUGGGAAGCACCAGCACGUUCCUCUUCUAUUAACUUGAAUAAGACUAAUUUGUGCUAGGGCAACGCUUCAUGAAACUUCAGCCUGCGGAUGCUGCUGCUGUGAUAGUUAAAAUGGUCAGGCUAGAUCAGCCUCUUUUUAUUAAGGAUCUUGCACACGCCCACAUGGCUAGGAACAAAGGAGGGGAGCAGGGGUGUAGGUCAUGCCUGAUUGCAAGUUGCCUGGUCAGUAUUUGAGAACCUGAAUUCCUUUGCUAAAGCCUCCCGUUUUAGAAGCAAAUCCCCUAAUCCUAUGGAUGAUUAUUGUCCCUAGGGAUGGAUGCUGUCCUACUAGAAGGAGGAAUGAUUCAAUUUACUGUUUGCUGCAGAGAUGGGUCCAGAGGCAGGUGUCUCAAAUGGGAGGGAGACUGUGAAAACACAUAAGAGGAGGCAAUGGGGAAGGAGAAACAGGAGGAAGUGAGGCUGGGAUGCCAAGGAGAAGGAGGGGGAAGGAAGAGUGCCAAAGGAAAGGGAAGGAGAAGGGGAUGUUUCUCCCCUCAGCUUCAUUGUCUUGCACUUUGCCUGAGAUCAAAGGGAACUUUUCUGCUGACUUAUCUGUGAAGCACCUAGUGUAACCCAGUGAUCAGUG
This is a long non-coding RNA of Mauremys reevesii (Reeves's turtle), 3127 nucleotides long. RefSeq lists it as uncharacterized. The transcript is spliced from 5 exons. The record is from RefSeq and is a predicted model, not a curated record. Lineage: Eukaryota; Metazoa; Chordata; Testudines; Geoemydidae.